UACAACUACUGUGAGAAAACAUAAGGUUAUCCUAUUAUCUAGAAAUUCUACUCCUGUAUAAAUACUUGUGUUAGUAUACAAGCAUUCAGAGAAAGAGAGAAAUUUAUAUGAGGAAUUGGCUCAUGCAAUUAUGGAGGCUGAGAAGUCUCAUGAUCUACCAUGUGCAAACUGGAGACCUAGAAGAAGAGCCAGUGGUAUAAUUCAGCCAGAGUCCAAAGGCUUGAGAGCCAGGAGGGCCAAUAAUGUAAAUCCCAGUCCAAGGGCAGAGGAAAAUGGGGUAAGAUGGUCAGCUCAGUCAGUGAGACAUGCAAAAAAGGUUUCUGAAAUAAAGAAAAUACAUGAGAAAGAUAUUUCUUAUAUGAAGACAAGGCAAAGGAAAUACCUGGCACAAAAGGAUUCAUUACCGAAGUUAUUAUUUUACUAGAAUGGAGAACCAGUAGCCUUUGAAUAAAUGUUUAUAAUAACAAUGUUAA
Long non-coding RNA from Felis catus (domestic cat), 473 nucleotides. RefSeq lists it as uncharacterized. NCBI's taxonomy places the organism in Eukaryota, Metazoa, Chordata, Mammalia, Carnivora, Felidae. The record is from RefSeq and is a predicted model, not a curated record. The transcript is spliced from 2 exons.